UUUGCUAAUUAUCUGAGUGAUCGCCAGCAGUAUAUAGAGUACAAAGAGUGUCAAUCGGAACCAUACGUAAGCGUAAGUCAAGGCAGCAAUCUAGGGCCGUUACAGUUUGCAAUAAUGGUGAACAAUUUACCAGAAUUAAUAAGACAUGCUAGAUGCCUUGUUUUUGUAGACUAACUAAAAUUACUCCUGUCAAUCCAAGGAGCGGACGACUGUGAACGCUUGCAAGGAGAUAUAAAUAGAGUAUGUGAGUGGAGCAAAAAAAAGCUACAAUUAAAUAAAUAUUAACAAAUGUGCCAUUGUGACAUUUAGUCGCGCCAAAUUGCCUCGUCAUCAUGAGGAGAACGUGUCAGGGGUGAUACUCAAACGGGAAACGUCAGUAAUAGACUUAGGAGUGCGAGUGGAUGCCCAAAUGAAUUUCGAAGAUCAUGUAGUGGACAUUUGCAAGACAGCAUACUCAAGGAUGGGAUUUGUGCUUCGAAAGGCAACAACGUUCACUAAUAUGAAAGCCAUCUCAAGCUUGUACAACGCUCUGGUAAAAGUAUGUUGGAAUGGUGGGGUACAGUAAAUUGGAAACCAGACGGGACUUACAGUUGGCCUACUACGUACUGAAAGUCUUGAGGAGUGUAGUGUGCAACCCGAGUGUACUCCAAGAACUGGGUUUCUUAGUACCUAUGGGACAUGCGCGACGGCGAAGGCCUAGGUUAUUUGCGAUACCAACGCCAAGAACCAGUCUGUUGCACAGAUCCCCGUUAUCCAGGACGUUGCGCCUACUAAAUGCUGUCUCCGCCACUAUCGACAUAUUUAUAUG
Pieris brassicae (large cabbage white) is the source of this 808-nucleotide long non-coding RNA. RefSeq lists it as uncharacterized. Lineage: Eukaryota; Metazoa; Arthropoda; Insecta; Lepidoptera; Pieridae. The transcript has 2 exons. The record is from RefSeq and is a predicted model, not a curated record.